Molecule: ribosomal RNA, 579 nt
Filed under: uncultured bacterium
Lineage: Bacteria
Description: bacterial SSU rRNA
Rfam family: Bacterial small subunit ribosomal RNA
Source: RNAcentral
ACGGGUGCGUAACACGUGGGCAAUCUGCCUUAAAGUGGGGGAUAGCUCGGCGAAAGCCGAAUUAAUACCGCAUGUGAUCAGGGGAGACAUCUUCCCGAAAUCAAAAGUGGCGCAAGCUACUGCUUUUUGAGGAGCCCGCGGCCUAUCAGCUAGUUGGUGAGGUAGCGGCUCACCAAGGCUUUGACGGGUAGCUGGUCUGAGAGGACGACCAGUCACACUGGAACUGAGACACGGUCCAGACACCUACGGGUGGCAGCAGUCGAGAAUUUUUCUCAAUGGGGGAAACCCUGAAGGAGCGACGCCGCGUGGAGGAUGAAGGUCUUCGGGUUGUAAACUCCUGUCAUUUGGGAACAAGUGUCGGUACGUAACUGCUACCGGCUUGAUAGUACCAGAAGAGGAAGGGACGGCUAACUCUGUGCCAGCAGCCGCGGUAAUACAGAGGUCCCAAGCGUUGUUCGGAUUCAUUGGGCGUAAAGGGUGUGUAGGUGGCGCCGUAAGUCGGGUGUGAAAUUUCGGAGCUUAACUCCGAAACUGCAUUCGAUACUGCGGUGCUUGAGGACUGGAGAGGAGACUGGAAUU